GGAGCUGUAGCUCAGUGGUAGAGCACACGCCUGCCACACAUGAGGUCCUGGGUUCAAUCCUCAUGCACCA
This is a non-coding RNA of Ictidomys tridecemlineatus (thirteen-lined ground squirrel), 70 nucleotides long. The record is from Rfam. Lineage: Eukaryota; Metazoa; Chordata; Mammalia; Rodentia; Sciuridae.